AUUGAACGCUGGCGGAAUGCUUUACACAUGCAAGUCGAACGGUAGAGGGGCAACCCUUGAGAGUGGCGAACGGGUGAGUAAUGUAUCGGAACAUGCCCAAUCAUGGGGGAUAACGUAGCGAAAGUUACGCUAAUACCGCAUACGAUCUACGGAUGAAAGCGGGGGAUCGCAAGACCUCGCGUGAUUGGAGUGGCCGAUAUCAGAUUAGGUAGUUGGUGGGGUAAAGGCCUACCAAGCCGACGAUCUGUAGCUGGUCUGAGAGGACGACCAGCCACACUGGGACUGAGACACGGCCCAGACUCCUACGGGAGGCAGCAGUGGGGAAUUUUGGACAAUGGGCGCAAGCCUGAUCCAGCCAUUCCGCGUGCAGGAAGAAGGCCUUCGGGUUGUAAACUGCUUUUGUACGGAACGAAACGCGCUGUGCUAAUACCACGGCGUAAUGACGGUACCGUAAGAAUAAGCACCGGCUAACUACGUGCCAGCAGCCGCAGUAA
This 494-nucleotide ribosomal RNA is filed under the name uncultured bacterium. RNAcentral's name for it is "partial 16S ribosomal RNA". It matches the Rfam family "Bacterial small subunit ribosomal RNA", at positions 30 to 523 of the family's 1533-position model. The record is from RNAcentral.